GAGAAACCUCUGCAUAUGUAUUUCCCUUGGCUACCUCAGGGUGGUGCUCUGUUUGUACUUGUUAUUUGCAAUCAGGACUCCUGUUAUAAUAGGGUUCUGAGGCUGAGUGUUGGAACUCACAGGUAGGCUGGUGUACAGGCAGGAGGGCUUUCCAUCCCCAUCUCAGGGGGAGGUAUUAUAGUUCAAAUCUGGAAUAUCUCUGAACUAAUGAAAGGAGUUGGGUCUUGAAGGCCCCUCCCUUUCUUUUUCGCUCUCUGGGUUGCCAUGACAAAGAGCUUUGUUCCACCUCCUUCCCCAUCACCCUGUGUGUGUUGCCCCAAGUCCAAACGACCGUGUAAUGAAACCUCUAAAAUGGUAAACCCAAUCAGCCUUUCUUCCUCGGAGCUUGUUUUUCUCAGAUACUUUGUCACAGCGAUGGGGAGCUGAUUGACACAGAUGUCAAGCUCAGCAGCCUGGGUGAGGUCAUGUGCAUCGGCAUCCGCAUCCCUGUCCACGCAUGAGCAAGAAGACACCGUGAACAGCAGAGUAAAGAAAGUCACAGUGAAGCGAGGCAUGAAAGGACUUUAUGGCCUCCAAAUACCGAUGCAGAGCCUUGCACAAGUCACGUGGGACCCUGCUGAGUCUCUCUUCUCUCGAAAGGAACCAGGACUGAUUGGCAUCAAGCUGAUAUCCACCGAUUACCGUUUGGAUGCCUGGCCUCGGUGGGGAAUCAUGGCUCCUAUUUCUGUAUAACGAAAGUCUUGAGCCAGGGCAAGUCUAUACCCACCCUAAGGGCUAGUGAGACUUGCUAGUGUGGGAUGCCUGAGGGCUUGGAUCAAGAUGUGAGCUCUCAGCUGUUCCCGCUGCCAUGCCAUUGCUGUGCCUUCAUGGACUCUAACCUUCUGAAUUCCUGAGCUUCUGGCUUCUUGCUGGCAUCUUCUCCAGACAGAAACAUUGGACUUAUGCCACAAACUCCACAAGUACAUGUGACCUGAGGACAACUCCCCUCCUGGGAAGAGCACUAGACCUACACCAGUAACUCCACCUAUCCUGGAGACCCACCUAUGCCACAAAGGCCACAUGUCUUACACCUGCUUCUUCUCCAGAUAGUCUCCUAGAUGCACUGGAGGGGUACCAGGACUGCCAUACCCAGUGACUCCAACCUGCAGGAAGAAGCCAGAUUUGGCCAUUGCUCCAAUUCCUGAAGGAAGCAUGAUGAGAGCAGGCAUUAGAAGCUGACCAGGAAGAGCAGGGAUUCCAAAGCAGCAAACCCAAGGAUGUCGGAAGAGUCUGAGUCUGUUACCUCCUCUAGAUGAAGACCUCUGAAAAUCCACCGUGAGGAUGAAACUGAGAGGAGGCACCCAGACACCUGGAUGGGUAACUGAGCUGAACAGCUCAUCCGCCUCUCAUAAGUCACCCCAGUGUAACAGUUCAAACCUAUUUCCCAGAACCCUUCUUACUAUCUCUCUUUUUCUUUUAAGGUAC
Molecule: long non-coding RNA, 1464 nt
Filed under: Cricetulus griseus (Chinese hamster)
Lineage: Eukaryota; Metazoa; Chordata; Mammalia; Rodentia; Cricetidae
Description: lncRNA (ENSCGRG00015029742.1)
Source: RNAcentral